AACUCAAGAACUCCAAGAUGUUUUUAUUGAUUUCAAUUUCCAAUAAAAUGAAUAUGUCUUAUCUAAAUAUUUUUGUCACACAACUGGAACAUUGAAUUAUUUUUUUCAGAAAUAGAGUUAAAUACAUCAAUCUAGUUACAAAUUCUAAUAUAAAGAGUACAAAAUAUAAUGUUAUAAAUUGUAUUUUAAAAAAAGAAAUACAAAUUCUGUGGUCUUUUGCAUUUUACUGCCUCAAAGCAUAAUUAGCAAAGUUGAAGAAUGAACAUUUUCCCUCGGUCAUUCCACAAAGACACGCUUACGGGGCACCUGAACCAUCGCCUGAGGUCCCCGCCUGUCGUUUUCCUCUCUUCC
This 351-nucleotide long non-coding RNA is filed under the name Bos taurus (domestic cattle). RNAcentral's name for it is "long non-coding RNA NONBTAT014830". The record is from RNAcentral. Lineage: Eukaryota; Metazoa; Chordata; Mammalia; Artiodactyla; Bovidae.